Molecule: ribosomal RNA, 279 nt
Filed under: uncultured bacterium
Lineage: Bacteria
Description: partial 16S ribosomal RNA
Rfam family: Bacterial small subunit ribosomal RNA
Source: RNAcentral
UGCCAGCAGCCGCGGUAAUACGGAGGGUGCAAGCGUUAAUCGGAAUUACUGGGCGUAAAGAGUACGUAGGCGGCUUUUCAAGUCGGGUGUGAAAUCCCUGAGCUUAACUCAGGAACUGCAUUCGAUACUGGAUCGCUAGAGUAUAUUAGAGGAUAGUGGAAUUUCAAGUGUAGCGGUGAAAUGCGUAGAUAUUUGAAGGAACACCAAUGGCGAAGGCGGCUAUCUGGAAUAAUACUGACGCUGAGGUACGAAAGCGUGGGGAGCAAACAGGAUUAGAUA